AUUUUAUCUUCAAAGUAGAUAACUUGUUUUGCAUUUUACAGGCUCAUAACUGGAGGGAGCUUGCCUUGAGACUCAAAUGAGAUGGAACUUUAAAUGAUCGAGUCGUUGCUGAAACAGAUAAGACUUUGCAGCUAUCAGAAAGCAGGCAGUAGAAUAUAGCAAAGCUUCUCCAGAUAAGAUCCUGUCAACACUCAAGUGUCAUUAGCCUUAAGCUGCGUGAAGAGUAAGGCUAGUCACACCAUUACACCAUUACAAGGUUGCCUGACCGGCUCUAAGAACCAGACAAGAAAUGUUUCCGGAGCUGCUUUAAAAGAGACAAAAACUUUCCAAGAACCAUUUUGCCCCUCCAUCAAGGUAAAGUACUUUCUUAAUAACUCCUGUGACGGAAAGAAAAAAAGAAAAAGAAAAGAAGUAAAUCCAGGCCACAGUCUCAGUCUUAUCUGAAUAUUAAAAUCCAGAAGUCUUUUUUAUAAAGUUUUGAAAGAAUUAGAGAGAACUGUAUGUUUUACUUCUUCAUUUUUAGCAAUUGGAAGAGAGAAUAGCACAUUGUAGACAUCAAUAAUUAUUCUAUUGAGUGAAUAAAUGAAUAAAGAUUAGCUAGUUGCCCAUCAUGUAUGAAGGCAAAAUACAUUGUUAAAAAUUUAAUAUGCACACACCCCUUAGAAAACAAAAGAAAUCUCUUAAUAUUGUAUUGAUAAAGAGAUGUAUUCUAAUUAAUAUUUUGAGCACUGAGAAGUCAAGGAGACCAGUAGUUCAGUCAAUGACAAGAGGGACUGAAUAGAAUCACAGCUGCAGGUCGCCACACUAGAGAACCCAGAGGUUAGUUCAGCGAUUGCUUCCCAAAGAUGCUUCUGGAUAAAACUUCAAUGAAAGUCAAAUUGUCAUAACUUUUUUUUUUUUUAACUCAUUACAGGAAUAAGCUGUAACU
This is a non-coding RNA of Chlorocebus sabaeus (green monkey), 928 nucleotides long. NCBI's taxonomy places the organism in Eukaryota, Metazoa, Chordata, Mammalia, Primates, Cercopithecidae. The record is from RefSeq and is a predicted model, not a curated record.